Molecule: ribosomal RNA, 1967 nt
Filed under: anaerobic digester metagenome
Description: bacterial LSU rRNA
Rfam family: Bacterial large subunit ribosomal RNA
Source: RNAcentral
UCAAGCGAAUAAGAGCAUAAGGUGGAUGCCUAGGCACUAGGAGCCGACGAAGGACGUGGUAAGCUGCGAAAAGCUGCGGUUAGGCGCAAACAGCCGUUGACCCGCAGAUGUCCGAAUGAGGGAACUCACCUGGGGUAAUGCCCAGGUACCCCGUGAUGAAUCAAAUAGUCACGGAGGAGGCAACCCGGGGAACUGAAACAUCUAAGUACCCGGAGGAAAAGAAAGAAACCUCGAUUUCCUAAGUAGCGGCGAGCGAACGGGAAAGAGCCCAAACCACGGCGUAAGCUGUGGGGUUGUGGGCCAUCCGCAAGCUGCUUGCGGCAUAGACGAAUCCGCCUGGAAAGGCGAGCCAAAGGAGGUAACAGCCCUGUAGUCGAAAUGCUGAGAGCAGUGGGAUGGUACCAGAGUACCAUCGGGCACGUGAAACCCGGUGGGAAGCAGGGGGGCCCACCCCCCAAGGCUAAAUACUCCCUAGUGACCGAUAGCGAAUAGUACCGUGAGGGAAAGGUGAAAAGAACCCCGGGAGGGGAGUGAAAUAGAACCUGAAACCUUAUGCUUACAAGCAAAGGGAGCGCAAGUGACCUUGUACUUUUUGUAGAACGGGCCAACGAGUUAUGGUAUGCAGCGAGGUUAAGGUGUUCAGCACCGGAGCCGAAGCGAAAGCGAGUCUUAAACGGGCGUUUAGUUGCAUGCUGUAGACCCGAAACCGGGUGAUCUAUCCAUGUGCAGGUUGAAGUAUCCGUAAAAGGAUAUGGAGGACCGAACCCAUGUCUGUGAAAAAGGCUGGGAUGACGUGUGGAUAGGGGUGAAAAGCCAAUCGAACCCGGAGAUAGCUGGUUCUCCCCGAAAUAGCUUUAGGGCUAGCCUCGGGUAAGAGAUAUGCGGAGGUAGAGCACUGAAUGUUCUAGGGGCCUUCACCGGUUACCGAAAACUAUCAAACUCCGAAUGCCGUACUAUCGCUGCCCGGGAGUCAGACUAUGUGGGAUAAGCUUCAUAGUCGAGAGGGAAACAACCCAGACCAACAGCUAAGGUCCCGAAGUGUAAGUUAAGUGGAAAAGGAUGUGGAGUUGCGAAGACAGCUAGGAUGUUGGCUUAGAAGCAGCCACCCAUUUAAAGAGUGCGUAAUAGCUCACUAGUCGAGUGACUCUGCGCCGAAGAUAAACGGGGCUAAAACUUACCACCGAAGCUUUGGAAUGGUUCGCAAGAAUCAUUGGUAGGGGAGCAUCGUGUACGGGCUGAAGCUUAACUGAAAGGUUAGGUGGACUGUACAGGAGAGAGAAUGUUGGCAUGAGUAGCGAGAGCAAGGUGAGAAUCCUUGCCGCCGAAAAUCUAAGGUUUCCUGAGGAAGGUUCGUCCGCUCAGGGUAAGUCGGGACCUAAGCCGAGGGCGAGAGCCGUAGGCGAUGGACAACUGGUUGAGAUUCCAGUACCACCGAAAGUCGUUUGAGCGAAGUGGGGACGCAGGAGGAUAGGCUGAGCGCGCGGUUGGUAGAGCGCGUCGAAGCGUCGAGGGAGAGCUGGUAGGCAAAUCCGCCGGCUUGCUAAUCCUGAGGCGUGAUCGGGAGGGAAAAUAAAGUACCGAAGCAGCUGAUUUCACACUGCCAAGAAAAUCCGCUAGCGAGACUGUAGGUGCCCGUACCGCAAACCGACACAGGUAGAUGAGGAGAGAAUCCUAAGGCGAUCGAGAGAACUAUUGUUAAGGAACUCGGCAAAAUGACCCCGUAACUUCGGGAGAAGGGGUGCCUGCGCAAGCAGGCCGCAGCGAAAUGGCCCAGGCGACUGUUUACCACAAACACAGGUCUCUGCUAAAGCGAAAGCUGAAGUAUAGGGGCUGACGCCUGCCCGGUGCUGGAAGGUUAAGGGGACGUGUUAGCGCAAGCGAAGCACUGAACUUAAGCCCCAGUAAACGGCGGCCGUAACUAUAACGGUCCUAAGGUAGCGAAAUUCCUUGUCGGGUAAGUUCCGACC